CUCUCAGCCCAGCCCACUUCAAAGGAUUGUAGCUGUGGGGAAAAGAGGAGGAGGAAGGUGCGUCAGAUAUGUUCUCCGACUAUUUGUAAAAAUAAUGAAGGCGGCAUGCAAAUAGCAAAAAUAAAUUUUAAAAAAGCAAGUGGAGCUAUAGUUUUUUUUUUGUGUGGGUGGGUGGAGUUUGCAUCAGGACAAUGCUAUUCUCUAACCGCCAUGGCCGUGAUGAGAAGCAGAUGCACAGAAGUUGGACCUGGUUCAAAUAUCUGAGCUGCCGGUCUUGUCAUUUGUCUUCUGGAUACCGAGACCACGGUCUGGAAUGGUCCGUCGGAGGCAAAGAGCUGGUCCAAUUUAUACAUCUGGCGAGAUACUCCCAGGUGUGAACGAGAGCAUCAUUUACCUAGGAGGACGAUCCUUCACCUUCAUCAAAGAGGAAGAAAAGACGCUGUGGAUAAACAGAACAAAAGAAGAAGAAAAAAAGAAAAGAAAAAGAAAAUAAAGCAAUAGAAGAAAGGGAAAGCCGAGCCAUGCAUAAUAAAUAUCCGAAUGGAAGUUUUGCUCAUCAAACUACGAUUCCAAAUAUAUUCUAAUCCUCUGGGCCACCUUGCUUUGAUGUUCUGCCGAACGAGAAAGCCUGUGUAUUUUGUAAGAUUUACAGC
Ahaetulla prasina is the source of this 653-nucleotide long non-coding RNA. RefSeq lists it as uncharacterized. The transcript has 3 exons. NCBI's taxonomy places the organism in Eukaryota, Metazoa, Chordata, Lepidosauria, Squamata, Colubridae. The record is from RefSeq and is a predicted model, not a curated record.